This 207-nucleotide ribosomal RNA is filed under the name uncultured bacterium. Its description in RNAcentral is "partial 16S ribosomal RNA". It matches the Rfam family "Bacterial small subunit ribosomal RNA", at positions 568 to 774 of the family's 1533-position model. The record is from RNAcentral.
CAUGUAGGCGGUUUGUUAAGUUGGAUGUGAAAGCCCCGGGCUCAACCUGGGAACUGCAUCCAAAACUGGCAAGCUAGAGUACGGUAGAGGGUGGUGGAAUUUCCUGUGUAGCGGUGAAAUGCGUAGAUAUAGGAAGGAACACCAGUGGCGAAGGCGACCACCUGGACUGAUACUGACACUGAGGUGCGAAGGCGUGGGGAGCAAACA